RNA transcript from Strigops habroptila (Kakapo), 2595 nucleotides. It is a transcript of the gene named interleukin 21 receptor, with no coding region annotated. The record is from RefSeq and is a predicted model, not a curated record. The transcript is spliced from 11 exons. NCBI's taxonomy places the organism in Eukaryota, Metazoa, Chordata, Aves, Psittaciformes, Psittacidae.
GACAGGGGUCUAGGCUCCCAGAGAAGGCUGGCGCGGAGGCUGUCUUGGGGAGAGCAUGCUUUCCUGUGGACUGAAUGUAUUCAGCGUUAGUGAGGCAUCUGGGAGAUGCUCUGGGCACAUUUUGCAUGCUGCAUGAGAGCUGUAGGUUUCUGUUCCAGAUGGACAGGGUGAGUUCACAGGCACAGUCAUUCCUGUUUCUGUUUACCAGCAUGUGUCUGGUGAUUUCCUAAGAGAAGAUACAAGCCUCUGUGCGGUCCCUUCCGUGUGAGCAAAAUGUGCACAGUCACAGCUCUGUGAAGGUUCUCUUCACCAAAGCGCCCCAGGGCAGCCUUUCCCUGAAGACAUCCAGUCAGAACCAACAUGAGGAACAAACUGUGGCUCAAGAGUAUUUCCUUCUUCCUCUUAUUCCAGUACACUACGUGUUGUGAAAACCUCACUUGUUUUGUGGACUAUGUACAGACGCUGUCCUGUGUCCUGAGGAAUGACUUGGGUGCCAGUUCAUAUAACCUCACUGCAACAUGGGUUUCUGAGGAAGUUCCAGAAAACACUGUGGCUGCCUGCAGUCUCCUGCAAUUGUCCAGGAACACCAGUCACACAGAGUACAUGUGCACUGUGGAUAUGACUGAACUCCUGGCAGAUAUCAAAGUCCAGGUGGAUGUUACAGAGAUAGCUAAUAAGCAGCAUGUGAUUUCCAAAGGCUUUUAUAUGUCUGAGAACAUCAAACCACAGCCUCCAUUCAAUCUGACUGCUGUGUUCUCAGAGGGUUACAAUAUUUCUUGGGAAACCAUCUACCAGAACUUUCCUUUCUACUUUUUGAAUGAGGAGCUGGAAUAUCAGCUGCGUUACAAGAGAGGGACUGACACCUGGGAGACUUGGAAGACUAAAGCUGUUCAUGAAGAUAAAAGGACACUGGUAAUUCUGCCACAGGAACUCCACGCAAACACUGAGUACGAGUUCCAAGUGAGAGCCAGACCCCGAGAAGGCACUAGUUACCAUGGAUUUUGGAGUGAAUGGAGUCAUCCGCUGACAUUGACAACUGGCCCUGCCGCAGUGACACAGAGAGCAGGCAUGGGAUGGCUGCUGCUGUUGGGUGGUGUCGUGGCAAUCACUGCCUCUAUCACAACCUUUCUGGCCAAACAACAGAGCUUGUGGAAGAAGAUGGCUUGCAUCCCAGACCCUGCUCCCUUUUUCAAGCCUCUUUACUUGGUGCAUAAUGGAGAUUUCAAGAAGUGGGUUGGUGCACCCCAUUCAAAAAUCACUUUUGAUUUCUUUGAAUGGGGGAUAGUCCUUCCAGAAGUCCUAGAAGUUUACACCAUGCGUAAUUCCAACAGCACCUCACGGGAGGAGCUGCGCGAGAUGAGAAAAGAUGUGCCUUGCAAGCCCUGUGUGUCGUGCCUGACUGCCCCAGGUCAGGAUGGCCAGUCCCUGCUGCCUAGUGGGACUCAGGACCAGUCAUACGGGCAUUUGUCCAUUGAUACUGUGACUGUGGCUGAUGAAUUCACGCCUUGUAAUUGCCAAUGCAACUGUAACCGUGUGUACAGGGGACAUGAGCACACCAGCAAGGAAGAUAGUAGUGCUGGAGAAACUGGUUACCCCAAGGUUAAUGUUGAUGAUGAAGACAGAAAGAUACCCAGUGACUUGCAUCUGGCUGACCUGAGCAUGCAAGACAAAAUACUUGCUUCAGGUUCUGUGUCUACAGACCACCUGCGGAGCACAAAUGUCCCAGCCCACCAGCAAGUAGAAAGGACUUUGGAAGGAAGGAUGGGGAGCAUCCUAGAAGCCCUUUGCUUGCAGCCUAAUCAGUGGGAUUUGGAAAAUCCAGGUUCUCUCCCUUCUCCCGAUGGUGAAAGUGUUUCCUACAGUGAAGGCUCCUGUGACUUCUUCCUUCACAUUGCAAGGCCUGGUGACAGUUACCCUGUGAUCUGCGUAGAUUUGGACACUAUUGACAGUGGCUUUGUGGACUCGGACUGUGGGAGUCCAGUUGACUGUGAAUUUGAGCAAAACAAUCAGACCAACUGUGGUUCCAUCCCUCUUGAGCAGGAGGGGGAGGACUUUCCACGGAGCUACGUCAAGCAGUGGGUCUCCUGUCGCUCUGACAGCCCUGUCAAUGGGACACAGACAAACUAAGGACUUGAUGUUGCCUUGCAGAGUGUUCGGCUUUUUCCGUACUGUGCCAGGAGCAAAGUCUUAGAAAAAUUCAGAAGAGAAGCAAAGUUUACUGCAUGUGGAGUCUGCAAAUGAAAAGUCUUCAAAACAUGUAAUUCCAGACAAACUCUUGCUACUGUGCUCUUCUGCUGCAGCAGCAUCUCUCCCAGCAUUUUCCAAGCACAUUAACUGAAAUGUUGAGCAGCUUUUAGAACUAUGCAGAAAUUUCAGAAGUAUUGUCCUACCUGGAUGUGCCUGCAGCUCCAUCUUCUGCUUUGGACCUGGUCUGCUGAAGUCCACAGGUCAGUAGCCCAGAUUUUGAGCAAUCUCUGCUAGCUAAUAAAGCCAACCAUGAAACUGCUAUUUGCACUGUAACUGUAAAUGUAUUUCUGCCUGACAUCUCUGUAUCUCUGUUUUGUCUAAGAUAAUUGUCUUUAGAAGUUACUGUAA